This 230-nucleotide unclassified non-coding RNA is filed under the name Hevea brasiliensis (rubber tree). Lineage: Eukaryota; Viridiplantae; Streptophyta; Magnoliopsida; Malpighiales; Euphorbiaceae. The record is from RNAcentral.
UGAUAAUCCUAGCCUGGAAGACUGGAAUGAAGUAACAGUAUCUGAAGGGGAAAGAUUUUCUCUCUCAAAAUUAGCAGAAUUAAAAAUAGUAAACUGCCCCAAGCUAAAAGGACUACCCCAAAAUUUUUCCCCACAAAAACUGGAGAUAAGCAAUUUUGAAUUGUUGACUACCCUCCCAUCAACAGAGCACGCGCAAAAUCUUCAAUGUUUAGCAUUAGAUUCAUAUAGUG